RNAcentral lists this ribosomal RNA (118 nucleotides) under Lepisosteus oculatus (spotted gar). Lineage: Eukaryota; Metazoa; Chordata; Actinopteri; Semionotiformes; Lepisosteidae. The record is from RNAcentral.
ACCAGCAGCCAUAUCACCCUGCAACUCACAGCUGGCCGUCCACUGGAGCUCAGCAGGUGGGAGCCUGGCCAGUACCUGGAUGGGAGACUCCUGGGAAAAACUAAGGCUGCUGCUGGAA